This 74-nucleotide transfer RNA is filed under the name Solirubrobacterales bacterium. Its description in RNAcentral is "tRNA-Gly". It matches the Rfam family "tRNA". From Rfam's summary of the family: Transfer RNA (tRNA) molecules are approximately 80 nucleotides in length. The record is from RNAcentral. Lineage: Bacteria; Bacillati; Actinomycetota; Thermoleophilia; Solirubrobacterales.
GCGGCUGUAGCUCAGUUGGCUAGAGCGACUGCUUGCCAUGCAGUAGGUCGUGGGUUCGAGUCCCAUCAGCCGCU